GUCUACGGCUAUGCCACCCUGAACCUGCCCGAUCUUGUCUGAUUUUGGAAGCUAAGCAGGGUUGGGCCUGGUUAGUACUUGGAUGGGAAACCACCUAGGAAUACCAAGUGCUGUAGGCA
Molecule: ribosomal RNA, 119 nt
Filed under: Pteropus alecto (black flying fox)
Lineage: Eukaryota; Metazoa; Chordata; Mammalia; Chiroptera; Pteropodidae
Source: RNAcentral